RNAcentral lists this ribosomal RNA (638 nucleotides) under uncultured bacterium. RNAcentral's name for it is "bacterial SSU rRNA". It matches the Rfam family "Bacterial small subunit ribosomal RNA", at positions 28 to 660 of the family's 1533-position model. The record is from RNAcentral.
AUUGAACGCUGGCGGCGUGCCUAACACAUGCAAGUCGAGCGGUAACAGGUGUAGCAAUACAUGCUGACGAGCGGCGAACGGGUGAGUAAUGCUUCGGAAUCUGCCCAAUGGUGGGGAAUAACCAGCCGAAAGGUUGGCUAAUACCGCAUAAGUCCUACGGGGGAAAGCAGGGGAUCGCAAGACCUUGCGCCGAUGGAUGAGCCGAAGUCGGAUUAGCUAGUUGGUAGGGUAACGGCCUACCAAGGCGACGAUCCGUAGCUGGUCUGAGAGGACGACCAGCCACACUGGGACUGAGACACGGCCCAGACUCCUACGGGAGGCAGCAGUGGGGAAUAUUGGACAAUGGGGGAAACCCUGAUCCAGCGACGCCGCGUGUGUGAAGAAGGCCUGCGGGUUGUAAAGCACUUUUAGUGGGGAUGAAAAGCUCAGGGCUAACACCUCUGGGUCUUGACCUAACCCAAAGAAAAAGCACCGGCUAACUCUGUGCCAGCAGCCGCGGUAAUACAGAGGGUGCGAGCGUUAAUCGGAAUUACUGGGCGUAAAGCGUGCGUAGACGGUUAUGUAAGUCGGGUGUUAAAGCCCCGGGCUCAACCUGGGAAUUGCAUUCGAGACUGCAUACUAGGGUGCGGAAAAAGGAA